RNAcentral lists this ribosomal RNA (465 nucleotides) under uncultured bacterium. RNAcentral's name for it is "bacterial SSU rRNA". It matches the Rfam family "Bacterial small subunit ribosomal RNA", at positions 198 to 644 of the family's 1533-position model. The record is from RNAcentral.
GGAGGAAAGCAGGGGAUCGCAAGACCUUGCGCUUUUGGAGCGGCCGAUGCCUGAUUAGCUUGUUGGUGAGGUAAAAGCUCACCAAGGCUCCGAUCAGUAGCUGGUCUAAGAGGACGACCAGCCACACUGGGACUGAGACACGGCCCAGACUCCUACGGGAGGCAGCAGUGGGGAAUUUUGGACAAUGGGGGCAACCCUGAUCCAGCCAUGCCGCGUGAGUGAAGAAGGCCUUCGGGUUGUAAAGCUCUUUCAGCCGGAACGAAACGGUCACGGUUAAUACCCGUGACUACUGACGGUACCGGAAGAAGAAGCACCGGCUAACUACGUGCCAGCAGCCGCGGUAAUACGUAGGGUGCGAGCGUUAAUCGGAAUUACUGGGCGUAAAGCGUGCGCAGGCGGUUUUGUAAGUCAGAUGUGAAAUCCCCGGGCUUAACCUGGGGACUGCGUUUGAAACUACAAGGCUAG